Molecule: ribosomal RNA, 685 nt
Filed under: uncultured bacterium
Lineage: Bacteria
Description: bacterial SSU rRNA
Rfam family: Bacterial small subunit ribosomal RNA
Source: RNAcentral
CGAACGCUUCUUUUUCCACCGGAGCUUGCUCCACCGGAAAAAGAGGAGUGGCGAACGGGUGAGUAACACGUGGGUAACCUGCCCAUCAGAAGGGGAUAACACUUGGAAACAGGUGCUAAUACCGUAUAACAAUCGAAACCGCAUGGUUUUGAUUUGAAAGGCGCUUUCGGGUGUCGCUGAUGGAUGGACCCGCGGUGCAUUAGCUAGUUGGUGAGGUAACGGCUCACCAAGGCGACGAUGCAUAGCCGACCUGAGAGGGUGAUCGGCCACAUUGGGACUGAGACACGGCCCAAACUCCUACGGGAGGCAGCAGUAGGGAAUCUUCGGCAAUGGACGAAAGUCUGACCGAGCAACGCCGCGUGAGUGAAGAAGGUUUUCGGAUCGUAAAACUCUGUUGUUAGAGAAGAACAAGGAUGAGAGUAACUGUUCAUCCCUUGACGGUAUCUAACCAGAAAGCCACGGCUAACUACGUGCCAGCAGCCGCGGUAAUACGUAGGUGGCAAGCGUUGUCCGGAUUUAUUGGGCGUAAAGCGAGCGCAGGCGGUUUCUUAAGUCUGAUGUGAAAGCCCCCGGCUCAACCGGGGAGGGUCAUUGGAAACUGGGAGACUUGAGUGCAGAAGAGGAGAGUGGAAUUCCAUGUGUAGCGGUGAAAUGCGUAGAUAUAUGGAGGAACACCAGUGGCGAA